This 107-nucleotide small nucleolar RNA is filed under the name Medicago truncatula (barrel medic). RNAcentral's name for it is "snoRNA gene10004". It matches the Rfam family "Plant small nucleolar RNA R71". Rfam says of the family: R71 is a member of the C/D box family of snoRNAs containing the C (UGAUGA) and D (CUGA) box motifs. The record is from RNAcentral. Lineage: Eukaryota; Viridiplantae; Streptophyta; Magnoliopsida; Fabales; Fabaceae.
AAACCAUGAUGGGGGCAAAGCCUAAGCAUUUCUUUGAAACGCUCCCACGCAUCGUAAAGAGAUUCACCAUCUUUUUGAGUGAAUUGAGUGAUUUGACUCCUCAAUUG